GAGUUUGAACCUGGCUCAGGAUGAACGCUGGCGGCGUGCCUAAUACAUGCAAGUCGAGCGAACCACUUCGGUGGUGAGCGGCGAACGGGUGAGUAACACGUAGGUGAUCUGCCCAUCAGACGGGGACAACGAUUGGAAACGAUCGCUAAUACCGGAUAGGACGAAAGUUUAAAGGUGCUUCUGGCACCGCUGAUGGAUGAGCCUGCGGCGCAUUAGCUAGUUGGUAGGGUAAAGGCCUACCAAGGCGACGAUGCGUAGCCGACCUGAGAGGGUGAACGGCCACACUGGGACUGAGACACGGCCCAGACUCCUACGGGAGGCAGCAGUAGGGAAUCUUCGGCAAUGGGCGAAAGCCUGACCGAGCAACGCCGCGUGAAUGAUGAAGGCCUUCGGGUUGUAAAAUUCUGUUAUAAGGGAAGAACGACUUUAGUAGGAAAUGGCUAGAGUGUGACGGUACCUUAUGAGAAAGCCACGGCUAACUACGUGCCAGCAGCCGCGGUAAUACGUAGGUGGCGAGCGUUAUCCGGAAUUAUUGGGCGUAAAGAGCGCGCAGGUGGCUGAUUAAGUCUGAUGUGAAAGCCCACGGCUUAACCGUGGA
Molecule: ribosomal RNA, 598 nt
Filed under: uncultured bacterium
Lineage: Bacteria
Description: bacterial SSU rRNA
Rfam family: Bacterial small subunit ribosomal RNA
Source: RNAcentral